CAUUACUGAGUGAGGGCCUUCGGGCUCGACCUCCAACCCUUUGUGAACACAACUUGUUGCUUCGGGGGCGACCCUGCCGUUUCGACGGCGAGCGCCCCCGGAGGCCUUCAAACACUGCAUCUUUGCGUCGGAGUUUAAGUAAAUUAAACAAAACUUUCAACAACGGAUCUCUUGGUUCUGGCAUCGAUGAAGAACGCAGCGAAAUGCGAUAAGUAAUGUGAAUUGCAGAAUUCAGUGAAUCAUCGAAUCUUUGAACGCACAUUGCGCCCCUUGGUAUUCCGAGGGGCAUGCCUGUUCGAGCGUCAUUUCACCACUCAAGCCUCGCUUGGUAUUGGGCGCCGCGGUGUUCCGCGCGCCUCAAAGUCUCCGGCUGAGCUGUCCGUCUCUAAGCGUUGUGAUUUCAUUAAUCGCUUCGGAGCGCGGGCGGUCGCGGCCGUUAAAUCUUUCACAAGGUUGACCUCGGAUCAGGUAGGGAUACCCGCUGAACUUAAGCAUA
This 496-nucleotide ribosomal RNA is filed under the name Cercospora sp. M103. RNAcentral describes it as "eukaryotic LSU rRNA". The stretch from base 152 to 305 matches the Rfam family "5.8S ribosomal RNA". The record is from RNAcentral. Lineage: Eukaryota; Fungi; Ascomycota; Dothideomycetes; Mycosphaerellales; Mycosphaerellaceae.